This 253-nucleotide ribosomal RNA is filed under the name uncultured bacterium. Its description in RNAcentral is "partial 16S ribosomal RNA". It matches the Rfam family "Bacterial small subunit ribosomal RNA", at positions 524 to 776 of the family's 1533-position model. The record is from RNAcentral.
UACGUAGGGUGCGAGCGUUGUCCGGAAUUAUUGGGCGUAAAGCGCUUGUAGGCGGUUUGUCGCGUCUGCCGUGAAAAUCCGGGGCUCAACCCCGGACUUGCGGUGGGUACGGGCAGACUAGAGUGUGGGAGGGGAGACUGGAAUUCCUGGUGUAGCGGUGAAAUGCGCAGAUAUCAGGAGGAACACCGAUGGCGAAGGCAGGUCUCUGGGCCACUACUGACGCUGAGAAGCGAAAGCGUGGGGAGCGAACAGG